This 29-nucleotide non-coding RNA is filed under the name Mus musculus (house mouse). The record is from RNAcentral. Lineage: Eukaryota; Metazoa; Chordata; Mammalia; Rodentia; Muridae.
UGACAAAAUUCGAAAAAGAGAACAGCGUC